This 2914-nucleotide ribosomal RNA is filed under the name Escherichia coli. RNAcentral describes it as "23S ribosomal RNA". It matches the Rfam family "Bacterial large subunit ribosomal RNA". The record is from RNAcentral. Lineage: Bacteria; Pseudomonadati; Pseudomonadota; Gammaproteobacteria; Enterobacterales; Enterobacteriaceae.
UUAAGCGACUAAGCGUACACGGUGGAUGCCCUGGCAGUCAGAGGCGAUGAAGGACGUGCUAAUCUGCGAUAAGCGUCGGUGAGGUGAUAUGAACCGUUAUAACCNNGGCGAUUUCCGAAUGGGGAAACCCAGUGUGUUUCGACACNACUAUCAUUAACUGNAAUCCAUAGGUUAAUGAGGCGAACCGGGGGAACUGAAACAUCUAAGUACCCCGAGGAAAAGAAAUCAACCGAGAUUCCCCCAGUAGCGGCGAGCGAACGGGGAGGAGCCCAGAGCCUGAAUCAGUGUGUGUGUUAGUGGAAGCGUCUGGAAAGGCGCGCGAUACAGGGUGACAGCCCCGUACACAAAAAUGCACAUACUGUNNGAGCUCGAUGAGUAGGGCGGGACACGUGGUAUCCUGUCUGAAUAUGGGGGGACCAUCCUCCAAGGCUAAAUACUCCUGACUGACCGAUAGUGAACCAGUACCGUGAGGGAAAGGCGAAAAGAACCCCGGCGAGGGGAGUGAAAAAGAACCUGAAACCGUGUACGUACAAGCAGUGGGAGCCUCUUAAUGGGGUGACUGCGUACCUUUUGUAUAAUGGGUCAGCGACUUAUAUUCUGUAGCAAGGUUAACCGAAUAGGGGAGCCGAAGGGAAACCGAGUCUUAACUGGGCGUUAAGUUGCAGGGUAUAGACCCGAAACCCGGUGAUCUAGCCAUGGGCAGGUUGAAGGUUGGGUAACACUAACUGGAGGACCGAACCGACUAAUGUUGAAAAAUUAGCGGAUGACUUGUGGCUGGGGGUGAAAGGCCAAUCAAACCGGGAGAUAGCUGGUUCUCCCCGAAAGCUAUUUAGGUAGCGCCUCGUGAAUUCAUCUCCGGGGGUAGAGCACUGUUUCGGCAAGGGGGUCAUCCCGACUUACCAACCCGAUGCAAACUGCGAAUACCGGAGAAUGUUAUCACGGGAGACACACGGCGGGUGCUAACGUCCGUCGUGAAGAGGGAAACAACCCAGACCGCCAGCUAAGGUCCCAAAGUCAUGGUUAAGUGGGAAACGAUGUGGGAAGGCCCAGACAGCCAGGAUGUUGGCUUAGAAGCAGCCAUCAUUUAAAGAAAGCGNNUAAUAGCUCACUGGUCGAGUCGGCCUGCGCGGAAGAUGUAACGGGGCUNAAACCAUGCACCGAAGCUGCGGCAGCGACACUAUGUGUNUGUUGGGUAGGGGAGCGUUCUGUAAGCCUGUGAAGGUGGCCUGUGAGGGUUGCUGGAGGUAUCAGAAGUGCGAAUGCUGACAUAAGUAACGAUAAAGCGGGUGAAAAGCCCGCUCGCCGGAAGACCAAGGGUUCCUGUCCAACGUUAAUCGGGGCAGGGUGAGUCGACCCUAAGGCGAGGCCGAAAGGCGUAGUCGAUGGGAAACAGGUUAAUAUUCCUGUACUUGGUGUUACUGCGAAGGGGGGACGGAGAAGGCUAUGUUGGCCGGGCGACGGUUGUCCCGGUUUAAGCGUGUAGGCUGGUUUUCCAGGCAAAUCCGGAAAACCAAGGCUGAGGCGUGAUGACGAGGCACUACGGUGCUGAAGCAACAAAUGCCCUGCUUCCAGGAAAAGCCUCUAAGNNCAUCAGGUAACAUCAAAUCGUACCCCAAACCGACACAGGNUGGUCAGGUAGAGAAUACCAAGGCGCUUGAGAGAACUCGGGUGAAGGAACUAGGCAAAAUGGUGCCGUAACUUCGGGAGAAGGCACGCUGAUAUGUAGGUGAAGCGACUUGCUCGUGGAGCUGAAAUCAGUCGAAGAUACCAGCUGGCUGCAACUGUUUAUUAAAAACACAGCACUGUGCAAACACGAAAGUGGACGUAUACGGUGUGACGCCUGCCCGGUGCCGGAAGGUUAAUUNGAUGGGGUUAGCGGUAACGCGAAGCUCUUGAUCGAAGCCCCGGUAAACGGCGGCCGUAACUAUAACGGUCCUAAGGUAGCGAAAUUCCUUGUCGGGUAAGUUCCGACCUGCACGAAUGGCGUAAUGAUGGCCAGGCUGUCUCCACCCGAGACUCAGUGAAAUUGAACUCGCUGUGAAGAUGCAGUGUACCCGCGGCAAGACGGAAAGACCCCGUGAACCUUUACUAUAGCUUGACACUGAACAUUGAGCCUUGAUGUGUAGGAUAGGUGGGAGGCUUUGAAGUGUGGACGCCAGUCUGCAUGGAGCCGACCUUGAAAUACCACCCUUUAAUGUUUGAUGUUCUAACGUUGGCCCGUAAUCCGGGUUGCGGACAGUGUCUGGUGGGUAGUUUGACUGGGGCGGUCUCCUCCUAAAGAGUAACGGAGGAGCACGAAGGUUGGCUAAUCCUGGUCGGACAUCAGGAGGUUAGUGCAAUGGCAUAAGCCAGCUUGACUGCGAGCGUGACGGCGCGAGCAGGUGCGAAAGCAGGUCAUAGUGAUCCGGUGGUUCUGAAUGGAAGGGCCAUCGCUCAACGGAUAAAAGGUACUCCGGGGAUAACAGGCUGAUACCGCCCAAGAGUUCAUAUCGACGGCGGUGUUUGGCACCUCGAUGUCGGCUCAUCACAUCCUGGGGCUGAAGUAGGUCCCAAGGGUAUGGCUGUUCGCCAUUUAAAGUGGUACGCGAGCUGGGUUUAGAACGUCGUGAGACAGUUCGGUCCCUAUCUGCCGUGGGCGCUGGAGAACUGAGGGGGGCUGCUCCUAGUACGAGAGGACCGGAGUGGACGCAUCACUGGUGUUCGGGUUGUCAUGCCAAUGGCACUGCCCGGUAGCUAAAUGCGGAAGAGAUAAGUGCUGAAAGCAUCUAAGCACGAAACUUGCCCCGAGAUGAGUUCUCCCUGAGACUUAGAGUCUCCUGAAGGAACGUUGAAGACGACGACGUUGAUAGGCCGGGUGUGUAAGCGCAGCGAUGCGUUGAGCUAACCGGUACUAAUGAACCGUGAGGCUUAACCU